RNAcentral lists this ribosomal RNA (496 nucleotides) under uncultured bacterium. RNAcentral's name for it is "partial 16S ribosomal RNA". It matches the Rfam family "Bacterial small subunit ribosomal RNA", at positions 29 to 507 of the family's 1533-position model. The record is from RNAcentral.
AUGAACGCUGGCGGCGUGCCUAAUACAUGCAAGUCGCGCGAACAGACGAGGAGCUUGCUCCUCUGACGUUAGCGGCGGCCGGGUGAGUAACACGUGGAUAACCUACCUAUAAGACUGGGAUAACUUCGGGAAACCGGAGCUAAUACCGGAUAAUAUAUUUAACCGCAUGGUUCAAUAGUGAAAGACGGUUUUGCUGUCACUUAUAGAUGGAUCCGCGCCGCAUUAGCUAGUUGGUAAGGUAACGGCUUACCAAGGCAACGAUGCGUAGCCGACCUGAGAGGGUGAUAGGCCACACUGGAACUGAGACACGGUCCAGAGUCCUACGGGAGGCAGCAGUAGGGAAUCUUCCGCAAUGGGCGAAAGCUUGACGGAGCAACGCCGCGUGAGUGAUGAAGGUCUUCGGAUCGUAAAACUCUGUUAUUAGGGAAGAACAAAUGUGUAAGUAACUAUGCACGUCUUGACGGUACCUAAUCAGAAAGCCACGGCUAACUACGUG